Molecule: ribosomal RNA, 255 nt
Filed under: uncultured bacterium
Lineage: Bacteria
Description: partial 16S ribosomal RNA
Rfam family: Bacterial small subunit ribosomal RNA
Source: RNAcentral
UACGGGGGGGAGCAAGCGUUGUUCGGAUUUACUGGGCGUAAAGGGCGCGUAGGCGGCCUCCGCAAGUCGACUGUGAAAUCUCCGGGCUUAACCCGGAAAGGUCAGCCGAAACUGCGGGGCUAGAGUGCAGAAGGGGCAACUGGAAUUCUCGGUGUAGCGGUGAAAUGCGUAGAUAUCGAGAGGAACACCUGCGGCGAAGGCGGGUUGCUGGGCUGACACUGACGCUGAAGCGCGAAAGCUAGGGUAGCAAACGGG